GCAAAGUUCGACACACAGAUCAGUGAACCUUGAGCGCCCUUGUGCAGACACACAUUGUGGAGGUUUGUCAAGAACUCUCGGCCGCGAUUAUAAUGACAGGUUUCUAAUGAAGAGACUGUGUGUGUCACCGCGCAUAAGAGAAAAAGAGGGAGGGAAGGAGAGAGCUCUUUAAACAAAAGACAAGGAGGCCCAAGCAGGGGCCUGGAGCCGUCCCUGGAGCCUGCUCAGCCUGAAGACCCUCCAGUUCCCCAGCCAGGCAGGCAUUUUGGAGAGGUUCUGCCACCGAGGCGGAACGGUCCUGGGCUCGCUCUCCAUGCGGCUGGAGAAGAACUGGAGACAAAGCCCCGAUCCAAGGCCUCGCAGCGAGGCUCCAAUCAGCGCCCCGGGCUUCUAGCCUACGGUCCAGGCACGACCCCCUGCGGGCUGUGACCCGGGAAGGGAGCCCAGGCCGGGCCCCAGGCUUCCCUGGGCCCUAGGUAGCCCUGGCUAGCCAGGUUGCCCCUGACGCACUCAGCCAGCUGCUCUUGGGUGCUUGCGAGUUCAAAACAGGCUCUCUCAUUAAUUAAAAGCUGGACAGUCUUGUCACUUUCUUUCCUGGCCGAGGAAGCGCCUCUAGAAGUCCCCGCAGUACUCUUGGCCCUCGAGUGAGGCCUUGGAGGUCGAGCGGCCAUUUACUGCCCUCUGAUUGCGCCGAGGACCAGGUUAGCUCAUAAAGCCUUUCACACUCAACAAUGGGGAUUUUCUCAACAAUUAACAAGAAACAACAUAAUAAAGCCAUUUACAAAGAC
Molecule: long non-coding RNA, 788 nt
Organism: Rattus rattus (black rat)
Lineage: Eukaryota; Metazoa; Chordata; Mammalia; Rodentia; Muridae
Exons: 2
Source: RefSeq, a predicted model, not a curated record